GGCUCCUUAGCUCAGUGGUCAGAGCAGGCGACUCAUAAUCGCUUGGUCGCUGGUUCAAUCCCAGCAGGGGCCAUAA
Molecule: transfer RNA, 76 nt
Filed under: Candidatus Ishikawaella capsulata Mpkobe
Lineage: Bacteria; Pseudomonadati; Pseudomonadota; Gammaproteobacteria; Enterobacterales; Enterobacteriaceae
Description: tRNA-Met
Rfam family: tRNA
About the family: Transfer RNA (tRNA) molecules are approximately 80 nucleotides in length. Their secondary structure includes four short double-helical elements and three loops (D, anti-codon, and T loops). Further hydrogen bonds mediate the characteristic L-shaped molecular structure. tRNAs have two regions of fundamental functional importance: the anti-codon, which is responsible for specific mRNA codon recognition, and the 3' end, to which the tRNAs corresponding amino acid is attached (by aminoacyl-tRNA synthetases). tRNAs cope with the degeneracy of the genetic code in two manners: having more than one tRNA (with a specific anti-codon) for a particular amino acid; and 'wobble' base-pairing, i.e. permitting non-standard base-pairing at the 3rd anti-codon position.
Source: RNAcentral